AUUGAACGCUGGCGGCAUGCCUUACACAUGCAAGUCGAACGGCAGCGGGCCCUUCGGGGUGCCGGCGAGUGGCGAACGGGUGAGUAAUGCAUCGGAACGUACCCGGGAGAGGGGGAUAACCGGCCGAAAGGCUGGCUAAUACCGCAUGAACUCGGAAGAGCAAAGCGGGGGACCUUCGGGCCUCGCGCUCUCGGAGCGGCCGAUGUCCGAUUAGGCUAGUUGGUGGGGUAAAGGCCCACCAAGGCGACGAUCGGUAGCGGGUCUGAGCGGACGAUCCGCCACACUGGGACUGAGACACGGCCCAGACUCCUACGGGAGGCAGCAGUGGGGAAUCUUGGACAAUGGGCGCAAGCCUGAUCCAGCAAUGCCGCGUGGGUGAAGAAGGCCUUCGGGUUGUAAAGCCCUUUCGGCGGGGAAGAAAUCGGUCAGGCGAAUAGUCUGGCCGGAUGACGGUACCCGCAGAAGAAGCACCGGCUAACUACGUG
This 485-nucleotide ribosomal RNA is filed under the name uncultured bacterium. RNAcentral's name for it is "partial 16S ribosomal RNA". It matches the Rfam family "Bacterial small subunit ribosomal RNA", at positions 28 to 507 of the family's 1533-position model. The record is from RNAcentral.